UAAGGAAUAUUGCACAAUGGGGGGAACCCUGAUGCAGCAACGCCGCGUGGGUGAAGAAGGCUUUCGAGUUGUAAAACCCUUUUCUGUGGGAUGAGGAAGGACAGUAACACAGGAACAAGUCUCGGCUAACUACGUGCCAGCAGCCGCGGUAAUACGUAGGGGGCGAGCGUUAUUCGGAAUUACUGGGUGUAAAGGGUAUGUAGGCGGCCCUUCAAGUCGCGUGUCAAAGUCCAGUGCUCAACGCUGGGUGUGCGCGCGAUACUGACGGGCUUGAGGGCUGGAGAGGUGAGCGGAAUUCCCGGUGUAGUGGUAAAAUACGUAGAGAUCGGGAGGAACACCAGCGGCGCAGGCGGCUCACUAGACAGUUUCUGACGCUAAGAUACGAAAGCGUGGGGAGCAAACA
This 403-nucleotide ribosomal RNA is filed under the name uncultured prokaryote. RNAcentral describes it as "bacterial SSU rRNA". It matches the Rfam family "Bacterial small subunit ribosomal RNA", at positions 355 to 774 of the family's 1533-position model. The record is from RNAcentral.